GGAUGUAGCUCAGCGGUACAGCACCUGCCUGGUAAGCAUGAGGCCCUGAGUUUGAUUCUCAGUACCAACA
Molecule: transfer RNA, 70 nt
Filed under: Fukomys damarensis (Damara mole-rat)
Lineage: Eukaryota; Metazoa; Chordata; Mammalia; Rodentia; Bathyergidae
Rfam family: tRNA
About the family: Transfer RNA (tRNA) molecules are approximately 80 nucleotides in length. Their secondary structure includes four short double-helical elements and three loops (D, anti-codon, and T loops).
Source: Rfam by way of RNAcentral